Molecule: ribosomal RNA, 253 nt
Filed under: uncultured bacterium
Lineage: Bacteria
Description: partial 16S ribosomal RNA
Rfam family: Bacterial small subunit ribosomal RNA
Source: RNAcentral
GACAGAGGGUGCAAACGUUGUUCGGAAUUACUGGGCGUAAAGCGCGUGUAGGCGGCUUGGCAAGUCGGGUGUGAAAGCCCCGGGCUCAACCUGGGAAGUGCACUCGAAACUGCUUGGCUUGAGUACUGGAGAGGGAAGCGGAAUUCUCGGUGUAGAGGUGAGAUUCGUAGAUAUCGAGAGGAACACCGGUGGCGAAGGCGGCUUCCUGGACAGUUACUGACGCUGAGACGCGAAAGCGUGGGGAGCAAACAGG